UACGUAGGUGGCAAGCGUUGUCCGGAAUUAUUGGGCGUAAAGCGCGCGCAGGCGGUCCUUUAAGUCUGAUGUGAAAGCCCACGGCUCAACCGUGGAGGGUCAUUGGAAACUGGGGGACUUGAGUACAGAAGAGAAGAGUGGAAUUCCACGUGUAGCGGUGAAAUUCGUAGAUAUCGGGAGGAACACCAGUGGCGAAGGCGGCGAUCUGGGAAGAUACUGACGCUGAGGUGCGAAAGCGUGGGGAGCAAACAGG
RNAcentral lists this ribosomal RNA (253 nucleotides) under uncultured bacterium. RNAcentral's name for it is "partial 16S ribosomal RNA". It matches the Rfam family "Bacterial small subunit ribosomal RNA", at positions 524 to 776 of the family's 1533-position model. The record is from RNAcentral.